Molecule: small nuclear RNA, 160 nt
Organism: Cricetulus griseus (Chinese hamster)
Lineage: Eukaryota; Metazoa; Chordata; Mammalia; Rodentia; Cricetidae
Gene: U1
Rfam family: U1 spliceosomal RNA
About the family: U1 is a small nuclear RNA (snRNA) component of the spliceosome (involved in pre-mRNA splicing). Its 5' end forms complementary base pairs with the 5' splice junction, thus defining the 5' donor site of an intron.
Source: Ensembl
GUAUUUCUGGCAAGCGGGGACACCAUGAACACAAAGGUAUCUCGGGGUGAGCCUCAUCCAUUGUGUACUUCAGAGGUGCUGACUCCUGCCAUUUCCCUAAAUGCAAGAAACUCCCUGCAUAAACUGUGAUGGUGAGGACUGUGUUUCUGAUCUCUCCUUA